GAUGAACGCUGGCGGCGUGCUUAACACAUGCAAGUCGAACGGACAGGCUACUGCUUGCCGGGCUACACCAGUGGCGAACGGGUGAGUAACACGUGGGUACGCUGCCCUGCACUUCGGGAUAAGCCUGGGAAACUGGGUCUAAUACCGGCUAGGACCGCAUAAUGUUUGUUGUUGUGUAAAAUUUGUCGGUAUGGGGUGAGCUCGCGGCCUCUCAGCUGGUUGGUGAGGUAAUAGCCUACAGGUGAGUUGACGGGUAGCCGCCCUGAGAGGGUGUACGGCCACAUUGUGCCUGGGGUACGGCCCAGACUCCUACGUGGGGCAUCAGUGGGGAAUAGUGCACGAUACGCGCAAUCCGGAUGCAGCGACGCCGGGUCGGGGAGGUCGGUUUUAGGGGUGGAAACGGCUUGCGCGAGGGACGAAGCGCAAGUGACGGUACCUGGAGAAGAAGCACCGGCUAACUACGUG
This 465-nucleotide ribosomal RNA is filed under the name uncultured bacterium. RNAcentral's name for it is "partial 16S ribosomal RNA". It matches the Rfam family "Bacterial small subunit ribosomal RNA", at positions 28 to 507 of the family's 1533-position model. The record is from RNAcentral.